GAUGAACGCUGGCGGCGUGCUUAACACAUGCAAGUCGAACGGAAAGGCCCAAGCUUGCUUGGGUACUCGAGUGGCGAACGGGUGAGUAACACGUGGGUGAUCUGCCCUGCACUUCGGGAUAAGCCUGGGAAACUGGGUCUAAUACCGGAUAGGACGAUGGUUUGGAUGCCAUUGUGGAAAGUUUUUUCGGUGUGGGAUGAGCUCGCGGCCUAUCAGCUUGUUGGUGGGGUAAUGGCCUACCAAGGCGUCGACGGGUAGCCGGCCUGAGAGGGUGUACGGCCACAUUGGGACUGAGAGACGGCCCCGACUCCUAAGGGAGGGAGCAGUGGGGAAUAUUGCACAAUGGGCGGAAGCCUGAUGCAGCGACGCCGCGUGGGGGAUGACGGCCUUCGGGUUGUAAACUCCUUUCGCUAGGGACGAAGCGUUUUUGUGACGGUACCUGGAGAAGAAGCACCGGCUAACUACGUG
RNAcentral lists this ribosomal RNA (468 nucleotides) under uncultured bacterium. Its description in RNAcentral is "partial 16S ribosomal RNA". It matches the Rfam family "Bacterial small subunit ribosomal RNA", at positions 28 to 507 of the family's 1533-position model. The record is from RNAcentral.